This 65-nucleotide non-coding RNA is filed under the name Desulfovibrio sp. Lineage: Bacteria; Pseudomonadati; Thermodesulfobacteriota; Desulfovibrionia; Desulfovibrionales; Desulfovibrionaceae. The record is from RNAcentral.
AAGCGAAACCGGCCUCCGGGCCGGUCUGCGGAAGUGGCCACUCCGCACUGAUGAGCUAGGCCGAG